GGAUUGUGGCUCAAUGGUAGAGCGCUUGCCUUGCAUGUGUGAGGCACUGGGUUCGAUCCUCAGCACCA
Molecule: transfer RNA, 68 nt
Filed under: Marmota monax (woodchuck)
Lineage: Eukaryota; Metazoa; Chordata; Mammalia; Rodentia; Sciuridae
Description: tRNA.Ala
Rfam family: tRNA (bases 5-65)
About the family: Transfer RNA (tRNA) molecules are approximately 80 nucleotides in length.
Source: RNAcentral